This 492-nucleotide ribosomal RNA is filed under the name uncultured bacterium. Its description in RNAcentral is "partial 16S ribosomal RNA". It matches the Rfam family "Bacterial small subunit ribosomal RNA", at positions 29 to 507 of the family's 1533-position model. The record is from RNAcentral.
AGUGAACGCUGGCGGUAGGCCUAACACAUGCAAGUCGAACGGCAGCACAGUAAGAGCUUGCUCUUACGGGUGGCGAGUGGCGGACUGGUGAGUAAUACAUCGGAAUCUACUUUUUCGUUGGGGAUAACGUAGGGAAACUUACGCUAAUACCGCAUACGACCUACGGGUGAAAGCAGGGGAUCUUCUGACCUUUCGCGAUUGAAUGAGCCGAUGUCGGAUUAGCUAGUUGGCGGGGUAAAGGCCCACCAAGGCGACGAUCCGUAGCUGGUCUGAGAGGAAGAUACGAUAGAUGGGAACUGAGACAGGGUACAGACUCCUGCGGGAGGAAGCAGUCGAGAAUAUUGGACAAGGGGGGAAAGGCUAAUCCAGCAAUACCGCGUGAGUGAAGAAGGAGUUCGGCUUGUAAAGCCAUUUAGUUGGGAAAGAAAAGAAGCACGUUAAGACGCCGCUAUAAUGACGGUACCAAAAGAAGAAGCACCGGCUAACUUCGUG